This is a small nuclear RNA of Lathyrus oleraceus (garden pea), 88 nucleotides long. RefSeq annotates it as U11 spliceosomal RNA. Lineage: Eukaryota; Viridiplantae; Streptophyta; Magnoliopsida; Fabales; Fabaceae. The record is from RefSeq and is a predicted model, not a curated record. The transcript has a single exon.
AAAAAGGGUCAGUUGGCUAAUUAUGCCACUCUCACCUGUAAUUGGUGAGUGUUGUAUGGUAAUCAAGACAUAUAGCUAACAUGAUCCA